Molecule: ribosomal RNA, 557 nt
Filed under: Fusarium verticillioides
Lineage: Eukaryota; Fungi; Ascomycota; Sordariomycetes; Hypocreales; Nectriaceae
Description: eukaryotic LSU rRNA
Rfam family: 5.8S ribosomal RNA (bases 175-328)
Source: RNAcentral
ACAGAUGCUGACGCGGAGGGACAUUACCGAGUUUACAACUCCCAAACCCCUGUGAACAUACCAAUUGUUGCCUCGGCGGAUCAGCCCGCUCCCGGUAAAACGGGACGGCCCGCCAGAGGACCCCUAAACUCUGUUUCUAUAUGUAACUUCUGAGUAAAACCAUAAAUAAAUCAAAACUUUCAACAACGGAUCUCUUGGUUCUGGCAUCGAUGAAGAACGCAGCAAAAUGCGAUAAGUAAUGUGAAUUGCAGAAUUCAGUGAAUCAUCGAAUCUUUGAACGCACAUUGCGCCCGCCAGUAUUCUGGCGGGCAUGCCUGUUCGAGCGUCAUUUCAACCCUCAAGCCCUCGGGUUUGGUGUUGGGGAUCGGCGAGCCCUUGCGGCAAGCCGGCCCCGAAAUCUAGUGGCGGUCUCGCUGCAGCUUCCAUUGCGUAGUAGUAAAACCCUCGCAACUGGUACGCGGCGCGGCCAAGCCGUUAAACCCCCAACUUCUGAAUGUUGACCUCGGAUCAGGUAGGAAUACCCGCUGAACUUAAGCAUAUCAUAAAGCCCGGAAGAA